Molecule: small RNA, 610 nt
Filed under: Pan troglodytes (chimpanzee)
Lineage: Eukaryota; Metazoa; Chordata; Mammalia; Primates; Hominidae
Description: retained intron
Source: RNAcentral
CUUUCCGCUAUCUGCCGCUUGUCCACCGGAAGCGAGUUGCGACACGGCAGGUUCCCGCCCGGAAGAAGCGACCAAAGCGCCUGAGGACCGGCAACAUGGUGCGGUCGGGGAAUAAGGCAGCUGUUGUGCUGUGUAUGGACGUGGGCUUUACCAUGAGUAACUCCAUUCCUGGUAUAGAAUCCCCAUUUGAACAAGCAAAGAAGGUGAUAACCAUGUUUGUACAGCGACAGGUGUUUGCUGAGAACAAGGAUGAGAUUGCUUUAGUCCUGUUUGGUACGGAUGGCACUGACAAUCCCCUUUCUGGCGGGGAUCAGUAUCAGAACAUCACAGUGCACAGACAUCUGAUGCUACCAGAUUUUGAUUUGCUGGAGGACAUUGAAAGCAAAAUCCAACCAGGUUCUCAACAGGCUGACUGUAUCCUUUUUCUGCCAGAGAAGACUUUAAGAAAUUUCCUUUAUUCUGGGAAUCGUACAGCAGUUUGAUGAGACACCCCCAGAGUUUCAGCUAUGAGUAUAUGGGUAUAUUUUGCUCUGAGGAGGGGGAGGUAAUGUGUUAAUAGGGUUUAAUGUGAAAUUAAUCAGUUUAAAACAGUGCCUGGGCUCCCAGCCCU